This 253-nucleotide ribosomal RNA is filed under the name uncultured bacterium. RNAcentral's name for it is "partial 16S ribosomal RNA". It matches the Rfam family "Bacterial small subunit ribosomal RNA", at positions 524 to 776 of the family's 1533-position model. The record is from RNAcentral.
UACGAAGGGGGCUAGCGUUGCUCGGAAUCACUGGGCGUAAAGGGUGCGUAGGCGGGUCUUUAAGUCAGGGGUGAAAUCCUGGAGCUCAACUCCAGAACUGCCUUUGAUACUGAAGAUCUUGAGUUCGGGAGAGGUGAGUGGAACUGCGAGUGUAGAGGUGAAAUUCGUAGAUAUUAGGAAGAACACCAGUGGCGAAGGCGGCUCACUGGAUCGGUACUGACGCUGAGGUGCGAAAGCGUGGGGAGCAAACAGG